GUUAUCAGGCUUAUCAGUAGGCUAAACUCUACCCCAUACACUUACAAUCAAAGUAGAUGCUAAUUCUCAGAAGAAUUUGAAUCAGGAAGCUUGUUAAAUCAAUACGGCAUGCUUAUAAUGUAAUUACAGUAGAUUGUAAUAAGAGAUGGAUACGGCAUCAAAAAGGCUUACAGAAGUGGCUUGAUUUAUCAAUUAAAUUAAAUUAAGAAAAAUUGUUUUAUGUAA
This is a long non-coding RNA of Helianthus annuus (common sunflower), 225 nucleotides long. RefSeq lists it as uncharacterized. The transcript is spliced from 2 exons. NCBI's taxonomy places the organism in Eukaryota, Viridiplantae, Streptophyta, Magnoliopsida, Asterales, Asteraceae. The record is from RefSeq and is a predicted model, not a curated record.